Nyctereutes procyonoides (raccoon dog) is the source of this 639-nucleotide non-coding RNA. The record is from the annotation of a RefSeq genome assembly. Lineage: Eukaryota; Metazoa; Chordata; Mammalia; Carnivora; Canidae.
AUGGAGUCUGUGCUCGGCUGGGUUUUCCUUGUCGCUAUUUUAAAAGGUGUCCAGGGUGAGGUGCAGCUGGUGGAGUCUGGGGGAGACCUGGUGAAGCCUGGGGGGUCCCUGAGACUCUCCUGUGUGGCCUCCGGAUUCACCUUCAGUAGCUAUGCCAUGAGCUGGGUCCGCCAGGCUCCAGGGAAGGGGCUGCAGUGGGUCGCAGCUAUUAGCAGUGAUGGGAGUAGCACAUACUACACUGACGCUGUGAAGGGCCGAUUCACCAUCUCCAGAGACAACGCCAAGAACACGCUGUAUCUGCAGAUGAACAGCCUGAGAGCCGAGGACACGGCCGUGUAUUACUGUGCAAGGGACAUCGUGAAUCGACCUCAGUUUGAGCCCAGACACAAACCUACCUGUGCUGAUAUCAGCCCAGUGUUUGUGACCUCUACCUUCCCCGUGUUGAAACCUAUCACCCAUGUGAUGGACGGAGUUGGUGGGGACUUAGGGAAGCACUUAGUAUUCUGGAUCAGCCUCCCUCCUGCCCUCAUCACCACAGCUUUAUCUCCCCAUGGCAACAUCCACACCUCCUACGUCCAAAUGGUGGUCGAUUUUCUACGUGUCCACUUGCAGUUUUUGUUCUCCCAGACCUCUGAGUGA